CAAGUUAAAGCUUUAUAGAAGCAUUUUAUUUACAUUAAAAAGUUGACUGUGGAAUUCAGUUUAAUUUGA
Molecule: transfer RNA, 69 nt
Filed under: Falcicornis taibaishanensis
Lineage: Eukaryota; Metazoa; Arthropoda; Insecta; Coleoptera; Lucanidae
Description: tRNA-Val
Source: RNAcentral